Schistosoma mansoni is the source of this 48-nucleotide non-coding RNA. NCBI's taxonomy places the organism in Eukaryota, Metazoa, Platyhelminthes, Trematoda, Strigeidida, Schistosomatidae. The record is from Rfam.
AUCCAGCUGACAAGUCGCAAAUAGGAGGAAAUGCGCGUCAAACUGGGU